RNAcentral lists this long non-coding RNA (532 nucleotides) under Phoenix dactylifera (date palm). RNAcentral's name for it is "long non-coding RNA (PDAC_LNC021457)". The record is from RNAcentral. Lineage: Eukaryota; Viridiplantae; Streptophyta; Magnoliopsida; Arecales; Arecaceae.
AUUAAUUAACUCAUCAUUUAUGUAUACCAGGGAUUCCCUUGCAUGAGUACAAGGUCCCUUUUAGCUUGAUCUAGGCUUAAUACUCUAUUAUAGCAUGAAAUCCCUUAUUUUCCACCCGGAUGAACAGUAAUCCGGACCGACGGCCAGUUACUUCAUCCCAGGUUUGAUCCACUUUCCAGACUCCAAAUUUGAUGAAAUUUUUACCUAACAUUCUACACUCAUAGGGAAUUCCAAAGAGGUAACAUGCAUUGCUAUCGGAGGUUGUUUGACCCCCUAAAUAAUUCGCCAAAGUUGGAAUUUCGACACAGUUUUUCCGUAGUGCCGGAAAAAUUUGUCAAAAUCCGAUUCUUCCUCUUUUAACCGCCUCUACAACCCUUAUCCGACCCCUCUAGACUAUAUCCACCCUUUGUAUAGCCUAAUGUCAUCAAAAGACUAGAUAGGGAUGGAUAUUUACCUUUUUCUUUUUGGAAAUCGAGGUCCUUGCGUAGAGGAGAAGGAAAUCUACAUUUUUCCCUUCAGCUGGAAGUGCACC